Molecule: ribosomal RNA, 465 nt
Filed under: Vreelandella stevensii
Lineage: Bacteria; Pseudomonadati; Pseudomonadota; Gammaproteobacteria; Oceanospirillales; Halomonadaceae
Description: partial 16S ribosomal RNA
Rfam family: Bacterial small subunit ribosomal RNA
Source: RNAcentral
CCUACGGGAGGCAGCAGUGGGGAAUAUUGGACAAUGGGGGGAACCCUGAUCCAGCCAUGCCGCGUGUGUGAAGAAGGCCCUCGGGUUGUAAAGCACUUUCAGUGAGGAAGAACGCCUGGUGGUUAAUACCCAUCAGGAAAGACAUCACUCACAGAAGAAGCACCGGCUAACUCCGUGCCAGCAGCCGCGGUAAUACGGAGGGUGCGAGCGUUAAUCGGAAUUACUGGGCGUAAAGCGCGCGUAGGUGGCUUGAUAAGCCGGUUGUGAAAGCCCCGGGCUCAACCUGGGAACGGCAUCCGGAACUGGCAAGCUAGAGUGCAGGAGAGGAAGGUAGAAUUCCCGGUGUAGCGGUGAAAUGCGUAGAGAUCGGGAGGAAUACCAGUGGCGAAGGCGGCCUUCUGGACUGACACUGACACUGAGGUGCGAAAGCGUGGGUAGCAAACAGGAUUAGAUACCCCAGUAGUC